GACGAACGCUGGCGGCGUGCCUAAUACAUGCAAGUCGAACGAGAGCGACCGGUGCUUGCACUGGUCAAUCUAGUGGCGAACGGGUGAGUAACACGUGGGUAACCUGCCCAUCAGAGGGGGAUAACAUUCGGAAACGGAUGCUAAAACCGCAUAGGUCCUUUAACCGCAUGGUUGAAGGAGGAAAAGAGGCGCAAGCUUCUGCUGAUGGAUGGACCCGCGGUGCAUUAGCUAGUUGGUGAGGUAACGGCUCACCAAGGCCGUGAUGCAUAGCCGACCUGAGAGGGUGAUCGGCCACAUUGGGACUGAGACACGGCCCAAACUCCUACGGGAGGCAGCAGUAGGGAAUCUUCCGCAAUGGACGCAAGUCUGACGGAGCAACGCCGCGUGAGUGAAGAAGGUUUUCGGAUCGUAAAACUCUGUUGUUAGAGAAGAACAAGUGCUAGAGUAAAC
Molecule: ribosomal RNA, 450 nt
Filed under: Granulicatella adiacens
Lineage: Bacteria; Bacillati; Bacillota; Bacilli; Lactobacillales; Carnobacteriaceae
Description: bacterial SSU rRNA
Rfam family: Bacterial small subunit ribosomal RNA
Source: RNAcentral